UUCUACUUCUGCAGGAGCCAGUUAUGCUAAUCGGCGCAGAAGGCGCCGACUAGGAGCACCCGUCGUUUCGUUCGGACAACUUCCACAACUCCCACGACCCUGUGUCACGACUGACGACCGAUGCCGGAGGGAGGAUCCAUGGGGACCGCGCCUAGGUUCAGGGCGGGUCUGCCUCACAUGGGGCCGAGGCGCCCGACGAGGUUGUCUUCUGGCGAUUCCACGAUGUCGUGCCCGAGCCAGCGGAUCAUCCGCUGUCGAUUUGACUCUGUCGAUUCAGUAAUUGAAUCACGAUUACAAGAGGCCAUUAAUGGCCAUGGAUAUGAGAGGCCGGCGGAUAAUUGCAGGUUCUCUGAUCUCGAUCGAUUGGAUCUCGGUUUCACGGUUGGCUGAUUCUGCUGCAUUGAAAGGCGAGGCACUGCUUUCACCAUAAUGAUUUCUUGCAUGAGAAUAAUACAUGCUUAAACGCAGCAUCUUCCAAUUGUUCAAAGUGCUAAUAGUUACAACCUGAGAUUACUUGCUCGGGUCCUUCUUUCACAAAGUACAGAGAUGACUUCAGAGUAACCAUGUUCUUUUCAGCUUUUCUAUUCUACAUAAACAACUUGAGGACGGUAUGGAUCAGGGUCUUCUGUUUGAAGGUGUUUUCCUUCACAUGUUUCAAUUUUGAAGCCCUAUUUGGGCAUGCCUCACUUUCUGGGAAUGCAAUGCUUUUCUGUUCUAAAUAAACGACAUGAGGACGGUGAGGAUCAAUUCAUAUUUGUCCUGCUUUUGAAGUCCCUCUGUAUUGGGGAAUGCCUUGCUUUCUAGGAAUGCAAAGGUGAAGGUAGACCACUUGUAUUAAGCAAUCACAACAGUAUACAAUCAACAGGAUUCAACUCAACGACACCUGGGGGAUCAGAGCACAAUCAACUUAUAUUUCUACUUUCUAAGCAAGCAGAGUUUGCCAGAAAGUUGCUAACUUUAUUUUGGGAGUGCCUAACAUGAGUAAUACUAAUUAUACGAAGACUCAAGAGGUGCUUUAUUUCUUUCACCAAAAAGGAAUACACCGAUCUAUCCAUGUCGCUGGUUUGAAUCAUAUUUGUAACUUAAGAGAGACCACUUCAAUCACCACGGGAAGGUCACUCCUCUGAAGGCCAAUGAUAAGCCCUGGCUACAAGCACAUAAGUCUGAUUCUAAAUCAUCCUGGUAGGAGAAAAGUUCUAUGCAAGAAGGAAAAAAAUAGGUCCGGUGUCAUCUCAUAACACCAUGCCAGCUCCAGCUCUUCCAUCUGAAGAUAGCGAUCCAUCAGAAUUAAUUUUCACCCAACCCGAAGGGGGGUAGAUCGACAACCAGCCUAACUCUAUAAAAAGUAGGAUAUGUUAUGAUUGUCCGACAGUUGUGUUGUAUAUUGGGAUUAAUUGAAUGUGCUUUGCUUUAUGCUAUUAAUUAGGAUGUAAGUCAUACCAUGUGGCAUCCUGCUAAGAGCAAGGCAUUUUAAUUCAACUGUUCAUUUAUACAG
This is a long non-coding RNA of Triticum aestivum (bread wheat), 1495 nucleotides long. RefSeq lists it as uncharacterized. The record is from RefSeq and is a predicted model, not a curated record. Lineage: Eukaryota; Viridiplantae; Streptophyta; Magnoliopsida; Poales; Poaceae. The transcript is spliced from 4 exons.